CUCCCUCCCUCCCUCUGCUCGGAGACUGUCACGCAGCGGUAAGUAUUCGUUGUGUUGUGAAUAUUGGCGUCAGUGUCGCGGGGCGGCGUCGGUGUGGCAGGAAAGCGACACGUAGAUUGGUUUAUCUGUGUGUGCUAUGCUGAGGUCCUCAUCCAUGAAGCCCUCAAAAAUAUGUGGCCUCAUGCUGGUCACCAUCUUCUCUUUUGAUAUCACCGAGUGAUUUCACAUCCACUGAGGAUCUUUGCAGGCUGCUAAGUGGUGGUGGUGGUUGCUGGUGUCCAGGUGUGGGAAUACGUGUCAAGUCACCAACCCCUCCCAGCACUGGCCAAACUCUGUGGUAACACGGAGAGCAAGUGGAAGAAACCUUGGGAGACUUCCAUGACUCAGGAACAAGCACACCUCACUGGGAGCCUUGUGACUGACAGGUGGUUCAGACCGACUGGGGAGACAUGACGUCUGUGCCACCACGCAGGGAGUAAAACCAAGAGGAGGAAGAGGAGCAUUCAAGAGACAUCAGCUGGCCAGCAGUCCAUUCAGUUUCACAACAGGAAGUGAAGGAUGAAGCAUGAAGGUUUUAGGCCAAAAUGAACUGACAGCAAUCAGGAAUGACACGUCCAGCAAAACCAGCAACACAGCAGAGUGCAACCUCUACAAGUGGUGGAGGGCAUGGACACUUGGAUAUGGAUGACACUGGUUUGGGUGCCAAAUAUUAAUAGUGCACCUACACAAUUACCACACUCGCUCCUCUCACCAGGCUUAACUAUAAAUAAUUAAAGGUAAAUAACAUCUGUCAUCUAUUAUCUAUUGUAUUCUAUAUUGCUGUUAAUGUUUCAUGUAUAAUGUCUUUGCUUUCAAAUGCAAGUCAAAAGGGUGAACCCCAUUUAUAGUACUAUUCACGUUUGGCAAAUUUCACUUUUGACAUUGGUUUGGCUACACUAAUUGAACUGCUAACAGUUGAGGGACUACUGUAAAUGUAGUAAUAAUUAUAAUAAUAAUAAUAAUAAUAAUAAUAAUAAUAAUAAUAAUAAUAAUAAUAAAAAGUAAUGAUAAAGUGCAAGACAUGUUCAUUAACGCAAUUAUUUUCUCCAAC
Scylla paramamosain (green mud crab) is the source of this 1090-nucleotide long non-coding RNA. RefSeq lists it as uncharacterized. The transcript is spliced from 6 exons. The record is from RefSeq and is a predicted model, not a curated record. NCBI's taxonomy places the organism in Eukaryota, Metazoa, Arthropoda, Malacostraca, Decapoda, Portunidae.